This 449-nucleotide ribosomal RNA is filed under the name uncultured bacterium. RNAcentral's name for it is "bacterial SSU rRNA". It matches the Rfam family "Bacterial small subunit ribosomal RNA", at positions 329 to 797 of the family's 1533-position model. The record is from RNAcentral.
CGCCAGACUCCUACGGGAGGCAGCAGUGGGGAAUAUUGCACAAUGGGGGAAACCCUGAUGCAGCGACGCCGCGUGAGCGAUGAAGUAUUUCGGUAUGUAAAGCUCUAUCAGCAGGGAAGAAGAUGACGGUACCUGACUAAGAAGCCCCGGCUAACUACGUGCCAGCAGCCGCGGUAAUACGUAGGGGGCAAGCGUUAUCCGGAUUUACUGGGUGUAAAGGGAGCGUAGACGGCGAUGCAAGCCAGAUGUGAAAGCCCGGGGCUCAACCCCGGGACUGCAUUUGGAACUGUGUGGCUGGAGUGUCGGAGAGGCAGGCGGAAUUCCUAGUGUAGCGGUGAAAUGCGUAGAUAUUAGGAGGAACACCAGUGGCGAAGGCGGCCUGCUGGACGAUGACUGACGUUGAGGCUCGAAAGCGUGGGGAGCAAACAGGAUUAGAUACCCGCGUACAA